This 977-nucleotide long non-coding RNA is filed under the name Nicotiana tabacum (common tobacco). RNAcentral describes it as "long non-coding RNA (NTAB_LNC006304)". Lineage: Eukaryota; Viridiplantae; Streptophyta; Magnoliopsida; Solanales; Solanaceae. The record is from RNAcentral.
UCUGAUGCUCGAUUUUCGCAUUUGCGAACAUAAGUUCGCAAUUGCGAACUAUGGUUAUACUAUUUGACUUCACAUUUGUGAUAAGAACUUCGCAUUUGCGAAGGUUGACUACUUAGUUGACUUUCACAUUUGCGAGGUAUUCUUCGCAUUUGCGAAGACUGCCUGAUUGCCCUUUCUUCUCAAUUGCGAGAAACUUCUCGCGAUUUCCAUCAUUGAUAACUUCGCAAUUCCCAGGUAUAUGUCGCAUUUGCUACAACUGAGGCCCCUUUCCAGAUUUUCUUCUUUUUAACUUCUUUUUGACUCGUUUCACUUUGUUCCUUCAAGAUCACUUCUAAAUCACAUAGAACCUGUAAUAUAGAAGUAAAUGGCAUUAAACACAUAAUUUUAUCACUCAAACAUAGCAAAAAUGUAGGCUUAAAGACAAGAUAAGUUGGUAAAAUACCCAAAAUAACCACUCGUAUACUGACAUAGGCCGGUAAGGCCAUAUAAUCUUUUAUAUACAUGACAUCUGUCUACAAGCCUCUAAGAAUACAUAAUUUUCAUAGAGGUCGGGACAAAAUCCCUCCAUACCAAACAAUACACAUCUAAAUCAUACUAACCAAACAUGCAACUCCGAAGCAAAUGGAGCGCAUCAACAUCUUCCGCUGAGCAGAUAGCCUACUUGGAGGGCUCUCGACCUAUCUAUCGGGACUUGCGGGCAUGAAACGCAGUGUCCCCAGGCAAAAGGGACAUCAGUACAAAUAAUGUACCGAGUAUGUAAGGAAUAAAAAUAAGUAAAUAAUAGACAUGCGAAAAACAUGGAGUAAAAGACUCGACAUGUACAUUUGCAUAGCUCAAUGAAUCAUUUCAUUUUUAUAAUGUCAUGCAUAUGCGUAUAAAUGUCAUACCAUGCAUGGGUAUAUGUGUUCAUAGCAUCAUCAACCCUCUGAGGGCAUCCCAUUAUAUCAUCUCGGCCACUGUGGGCGAAAUCAUCAAAG